Molecule: ribosomal RNA, 529 nt
Filed under: uncultured bacterium
Lineage: Bacteria
Description: bacterial SSU rRNA
Rfam family: Bacterial small subunit ribosomal RNA
Source: RNAcentral
AAUAGAUACCCAGGUAGUCCACGCCGUAAACGAUGAGUGCUAAGUGUUAGAGGGUUUCCGCCCUUUAGUGCUGCAGCAAACGCAUUAAGCACUCCGCCUGGGGAGUACGGCCGCAAGGCUGAAACUCAAAGGAAUUGACGGGGGCCCGCACAAGCGGUGGAGCAUGUGGUUUAAUUCGAAGCAACGCGAAGAACCUUACCAGGUCUUGACAUCUCCUGACAACCCUAGAGAUAGGGCGUUCCCCUUCGGGGGACAGGAUGACAGGUGGUGCAUGGUUGUCGUCAGCUCGUGUCGUGAGAUGUUGGGUUAAGUCCCGCAACGAGCGCAACCCUUGAUCUUAGUUGCCAGCAUUCAGUUGGGCACUCUAAGGUGACUGCCGGUGACAAACCGGAGGAAGGUGGGGAUGACGUCAAAUCAUCAUGCCCCUUAUGACCUGGGCUACACACGUGCUACAAUGGAUGGUACAAAGGGCUGCAAGACCGCGAGGUUAAGCGAAUCCCAUAAAACCAUUCUCAGUUCGGAUUGCAGG